This 466-nucleotide ribosomal RNA is filed under the name uncultured bacterium. RNAcentral's name for it is "partial 16S ribosomal RNA". It matches the Rfam family "Bacterial small subunit ribosomal RNA", at positions 28 to 507 of the family's 1533-position model. The record is from RNAcentral.
GAUGAACGCUGGCGGCGUGCUUAACACAUGCAAGUCGAACGGAAAGGCUCCUGCUUGCAGGGGUUCUUGAGUGGCGAACGGGUGAGUAACACGUGGGUGAUCUGCCCUGCACUUCGGGAUAAGCCUGGGAAACUGGGUCUAAUACCGGAUAGGACGAUGGUUUGGAUGCCAUUGUGGAAAGUUUUUUCGGUGUGGGAUGAGCUCGCGGCCUAUCAGCUUGUUGGUGGGGUAAUGGCCUACCAAGGCGUCGACGGGUAGCCGGCCUGAGAGGGUGUACGGCCACAUUGGGACUGAGAGACGGCCCAGACUCCUACGGGAGGCAGCAGUGGGGAAUAUUGCACAAUGGGCGCAAGCCUGAUGCAGCGACGCCGCGUGGGGGAUGACGGCCUUCGGGUUGUAAACUCCUUUCGCUAGGGACGAAGCGCAAGUGACGGUACCUGGAGAAGAAGCACCGGCUAACUACGUG